This 197-nucleotide ribosomal RNA is filed under the name uncultured bacterium. Its description in RNAcentral is "partial 16S ribosomal RNA". It matches the Rfam family "Bacterial small subunit ribosomal RNA", at positions 328 to 539 of the family's 1533-position model. The record is from RNAcentral.
ACGCUCGACACCUACGGGAGGCAGCAGUGGGGGAUAUUGCACAAUGGGGGAAACCCUGAUGCAGCAACGCCGCGUGAGGGAAGAAGGUUUUCGGAUUGUAAACCUCUGUCCCCGGGGAAGAUAAUGACGGUACCCGGGGAGGAAGCUCCGGCUAACUACGUGCCACAGCCGCGGUAAUCUGAGCGGGCUGGCAAGGC